CCCUUAGAUGUUCUGGGCUGCACGCGCGCUACACUGAAGCUAUCAACACGUUUUCCCUCCCUGAGAAGGGCGGGCAACCUUUUGAAUCAGCUUCGUGGUAGGGAUCGGGGCUUGCAAUUGUUCCCCGUGAACCGGGAAUUCCUAGUAGACGCGAGUCAUAAGCUCGCAUCGAUUAAGUCCCUGCCCUUUGUACACACCGCCCGUCGCUACUACCGAUUGAACGUUUUAGUGAGGCAUUUGGACCGACGCAUCUCAGUUUAACCGCUGGUUUGUGUUGGAAAGACUUCCAAACUUGAGCGUUUAGAGGAAGUAAAAGUCGUAACA
Molecule: ribosomal RNA, 324 nt
Filed under: uncultured eukaryote
Lineage: Eukaryota
Description: partial 18S ribosomal RNA
Rfam family: Eukaryotic small subunit ribosomal RNA
Source: RNAcentral